Molecule: small nuclear RNA, 296 nt
Filed under: Salvator merianae (Argentine black and white tegu)
Lineage: Eukaryota; Metazoa; Chordata; Lepidosauria; Squamata; Teiidae
Description: 7SK RNA (ENSSMRG00000007893.1)
Rfam family: 7SK RNA
About the family: 7SK was discovered as an abundant small nuclear RNA in the mid-70s but a possible function has only recently been suggested.
Source: RNAcentral
AAAUAUGUAAGGGCAAUUUGGUAGUGAUACCUGUCACUCCAUUGAUUGCCAGGAUUGAUUCAGCUGCUCUGGUUGGCUAGGCAAGUAUCACCUUCCUCUCCCAUUGCUCUAUGUGCAUCUCUCCUGAUGUUGCAUGUUCAGUGGAAGAGGAUAACCAUCCUAGAUAGGAGUGUAUGGGUCUUUGGACAAGAGUAUAUGAUAACUGUAACCUCCUACUAGAAUCUCCAACAGUAUUCAGGUUUCUCUUCAGAUAAUAUAACUAGCAAAAAUGAAUUCCUUUGUACAUACUGAACUGU